ACACUCCUACGGGAGGCAGCAGUGGGGAAUCUUGCGCAAUGGGCGAAAGCCUGACGCCGCCAUGCCGCGUGAAUGAUGAAGGUCUUAGGAUUGUAAAAUUCUUUCACCGGGGACGAUAAUGACGGUACCCGGAGAAGAAGCCCCGGCUAACUUCGUGCCAGCAGCCGCGGUAAUACGAAGGGGGCUAGCGUUGCUCGGAAUUACUGGGCGUAAAGGGAGCGUAGGCGGACAUUUAAGUCAGGGGUGAAAUCCCGGGGCUCAACCACGGAAUUGCCUUUGAUACUGGGUGUCUUGAGUAUGAGAGAGGUGUGUGGAACUCCGAGUGUAGAGGUGAAAUUCGUAGAUAUUCGGAAGAACACCAGUGGCGAAGGCGACACACUGGCUCAUUACUGACGCUGAGGCUCGAAAGCGUGGGGAGCAAACAGGAUUAGAAACCCUGGUAGUCCCAUGAU
RNAcentral lists this ribosomal RNA (452 nucleotides) under uncultured organism. RNAcentral describes it as "partial 16S ribosomal RNA". It matches the Rfam family "Bacterial small subunit ribosomal RNA", at positions 333 to 801 of the family's 1533-position model. The record is from RNAcentral.